UGCACUUGAGGAGGAUUUUACGAGAAAGGCUUCCUGGUACCCUUGAGUUUGGAUUCACAGCUUUAAAGUUUUGACUUAUUUGAGAAUAAUUAGUUGUACAUUAGCAUACCAGCAUUACAGACUGUUCACUGUUCUUUACUAGUCAACUAUUAUCAGAUUCAACAGUUGUGGGAAACAUUUAGGUACAAGAAACAGGACAGGGAAUAUGCAAAAUUCACACAUUGGUAGUAAGAAAAUAGAUAAUUAGAAAUGGGAUUAUAAUGUUAUAGAGCAUAAGACAAAAUCAUGAGAACUAACAAACAUCAUUGGGUAUGUUCACCACAUGUGCAGUAAAAUUUGCAUGUUUCAAAGAAUGAAAGGUGUUGUGAAUGAGAUCUAACUAAUCCUGCAUGUAUUUCUUUGCUUUUAUAACAUAGAUACCUGUCUUAAUUUUCUUUGGCUGUGAAGAGAUACCAUGGCCAAAGAAACUUAUUAAAGAAAGUGGGGGUCUUAUUUCCAGUUUCAGAGGGUGAGCACAUGACUGUCAUGGUGGGGAGUGUAGCAGAAAUCUCAUCCACAGGCAGUAACAGAGAGAAAAGGACUGAGCCUAGUGUGGGCUUUUGAAACUUCAAAGCCCAACCCCAGUGACACACCUCAUCCAACAAGGCCACACCUCCUAAUCCUUCCUAGAAAACCAGCCAGAAAGCAAACACUCAAAUGUACAACUGUGGGGUCUGUUCUCAUACAAACCCUAUCCUACUCAUCUUUCCAUGUGUUGCUUAUUUCAAACCCAAAUGUUUUACCAAGAAAUCGGUUGGGGUGAAAAACCAUUGAUAAAUGCUAAUUCCUUUAUCCAAAUGAUACCUUGAUUUUUGCUAUUUGUUACCUAUAAAUGAGAAGCAUUAAUGCUCUGUCAUCAAGAAUCAAGACCUAAGGCAAAAAGGAUGAUGAUUUUUUAAACUCCAAAAUGAUAUAGUUACUUAAAAUCAUUUAUAUGAUCACUAUUACAGAUGGUGUUUUACACUAUUUUAGAUAUGAAAAUAAUGGCUCAAUCACAUUUUUUUCUUAGCCUGGCAACAUUCCUCUCUUCUCUAUGCCUGUGGUAGCCCCUUCCUUCUAUGCUUUAAUUUCUAUUUAGUACUAAUUUAGUGCCAGUUCUGUUUUUCAGAAUCCAUAAACCUCAUAUAACAUUAGAAUAGCCUUCAUUCCUAAGAUGACCUAGGAAUCUAGCCAAAAAUUUGCUAAGGCCCCUAAAUGCAAUAGCUCUUACGUGUCCUGUGCACAGGUAAGCAAAAUCAUUUCUUGCUAUUUUGUCUUAUGUAAAUGAAGACAAAGUGAGCAUGAAUUUCUUCCAGAUUUGUAAAUAAUCCCUUUUCUGUCUACUGUAGAGAGUAUUUACCUGCCUACUGAAGAAUGUGUUCCCCAAAGCAAAUAUCACCUGGUUAAUAGAUGGAAGACUUCUUCAAGGCAAUGAAGAAGGAGUACGCAUUACAAAUGAAGAGAAAAAUGGAAGUAGUGGAUUUCAGGAACUGAAGGUAGUUUUAACAACGAUGUCCACUAGACCAUCCCAAUCAAACAACAUGACAGUAUGGUGUAUGGCUCUUUCACUAGGCCCAGGAAAUAAAGUGUGGAAUACUUCAUCACAA
Long non-coding RNA from Grammomys surdaster, 1625 nucleotides. RefSeq lists it as uncharacterized. The record is from RefSeq and is a predicted model, not a curated record. The transcript is spliced from 2 exons. Lineage: Eukaryota; Metazoa; Chordata; Mammalia; Rodentia; Muridae.